CUUUAGACCUGUGACCAGAGCCCGG
RNAcentral lists this unclassified non-coding RNA (25 nucleotides) under Mus musculus (house mouse). RNAcentral describes it as "oocyte_clustered_small_RNA5642". The record is from RNAcentral. Lineage: Eukaryota; Metazoa; Chordata; Mammalia; Rodentia; Muridae.